Lynx canadensis (Canada lynx) is the source of this 531-nucleotide long non-coding RNA. RefSeq lists it as uncharacterized. The record is from RefSeq and is a predicted model, not a curated record. The transcript is spliced from 3 exons. NCBI's taxonomy places the organism in Eukaryota, Metazoa, Chordata, Mammalia, Carnivora, Felidae.
GAAUGCAUUCAUUUUCAACUGCAGGAGAAAGAAUAACUCCAGAGAACUACAACGUUAUGCUGAGCCAAAUUAGCAGUGAAAUUGAAGAGCAGGAUAAAAUGACUGACAUGCAAGGGUUCAGCCCCCACAGAUCCUCUCUGAGAAGAUACACUGGAGUGUUUCUAGCAAGAAGAAAAGCGACCCUAAGAAAGUGAUCAAGUCACAGGAAGGUGGUACCUUGCAUCCUAUGGGGACAGAGACUGAAUACUUCAGUUUCAAAACAGGACGAGGUUCAUGUGACAGAAGGAAGCGCCCAUGAAUCAGCUGUCCAGACUCCUUUUAGGUGAACCGGAACCCCCACAGCCACAGUCUCUCAAGUGGAGAUUUUAAAGCAGUACCGUCCAAGCGCUCAGACAGGAUGCUCUUCAACCACGGAAUUCUCGGGUGACCUUUCCGUAGGAAUCACAUGCAAAUGUCCCAGUGGAAGGUCGCGAUUGGUCUUCAAAGGUCAUCUCCAUUCGUCUAGACGGUUGUCUUCACAAAAGAAGGAAG